GACGAACGCUGGCGGCGUGCCUAAUACAUGCAAGUUGAGCGAUGAAGAUUGGUGCUUGCACCCAUUUGAAGAGCAGCGAACGGGUGAGUAACGCGUGGGGAAUCUGCCUUUGAGCGGGGGACAACAUUUGGAAACGAAUGCUAAUACCGCAUAAUAACUUUAAACAUAAGUUUUAAGUUUGAAAGAUGCAAUUGCAUCACUCAAAGAUGAUCCCGCGUUGUAUUAGCUAGUUGGUGAGGUAAAGGCUCACCAAGGCGAUGAUACAUAGCCGACCUGAGAGGGUGAUCGGCCACAUUGGGACUGAGACACGGCCCAAACUCCUACGGGAGGCAGCAGUAGGGAAUCUUCGGCAAUGGACGAAAGUCUGACCGAGCAACGCCGCGUGAGUGAAGAAGGGUUUCGGAUCGUAAAACUCUGUUGGUAGAGAAGAACGUUGGUGAGAGUGGAAAGCUCAUCAAGUGACGGUAACUACCCAGAAAGGGACGGCUAACUACGUG
Molecule: ribosomal RNA, 497 nt
Filed under: uncultured bacterium
Lineage: Bacteria
Description: partial 16S ribosomal RNA
Rfam family: Bacterial small subunit ribosomal RNA
Source: RNAcentral